AUUGAACGCUGGCGGCAGGCCUAACACAUGCAAGUCGAGCGGAUGACGGGAGCUUGCUCCUGGAUUCAGCGGCGGACGGGUGAGUAAUGCCUAGGAAUCUGCCUGGUAGUGGGGGAUAACGUCCGGAAACGGGCGCUAAUACCGCAUACGUCCUGAGGGAGAAAGUGGGGGAUCUUCGGACCUCACGCUAUCAGAUGAGCCUAGGUCGGAUUAGCUAGUUGGUGGGGUAAAGGCCUACCAAGGCGACGAUCCGUAACUGGUCUGAGAGGCUGAUCAGUCACACUGGAACUGAGACACGGUCCAGACUCCUACGGGAGGCAGCAGUGGGGAAUAUUGGACAAUGGGCGAAAGCCUGAUCCAGCCAUGCCGCGUGUGUGAAGAAGGUCUUCGGCUGGUAAAGCACUUUAAGUUGGGAGGAAGGGCAGUAAGGUAAUACCUUGCUGUUUUGACGUUACCAACAGAAUAAGCAACGGCUAACUUCGUG
Molecule: ribosomal RNA, 484 nt
Filed under: uncultured bacterium
Lineage: Bacteria
Description: partial 16S ribosomal RNA
Rfam family: Bacterial small subunit ribosomal RNA
Source: RNAcentral